CGCUGGCGGCAUGCCUUACACAUGCAAGUCGAACGGCAGCACGGAGCUUGCUCUGGUGGCGAGUGGCGAACGGGUGAGUAAUAUAUCGGAACGUACCCAGGAGUGGGGGAUAACGUAGCGAAAGUUACGCUAAUACCGCGUACGUCCUAAGGGAGAAAGUGGGGGAUCGCAAGACCUCAUGCUCAUGGAGCGGCCGAUAUCUGAUUAGCUAGUUGGUGGGGUAAAGGCCUACCAAGGCAUCGAUCAGUAGCUGGUCUGAGAGGACGACCAGCCACACUGGAACUGAGACACGGUCCAGACUCCUACGGGAGGCAGCAGUGGGGAAUUUUGGACAAUGGGGGCAACCCUGAUCCAGCAAUGCCGCGUGAGUGAAGAAGGCCUUCGGGUUGUAAAGCUCUUUUGUCAGGGAGGAAAAGGGAUUGGCUAAUAUCUGAUCCUCAUGACGGUACCUGAAGAAUAAGCACCGGCU
This 469-nucleotide ribosomal RNA is filed under the name uncultured bacterium. RNAcentral's name for it is "bacterial SSU rRNA". It matches the Rfam family "Bacterial small subunit ribosomal RNA", at positions 34 to 498 of the family's 1533-position model. The record is from RNAcentral.